CGCCACAUGAAUCGGCGCUUGAUGAGCUGAUCUUUGUGCGAACCAAACCGAGCGGUCGCAGUUAGCAGCGAGCUGCACGACAACCGGCGGAGGACAUCGGUACCCGGGUGAUAAUCCACACAUGCGACGACCAUACGGUGACUGUCACGGCCUAAAAAUGGUCAUCUGGUGAGGCGUGCCGAAGCUCUCAGGUGGAGGAGGGGCACACAGCGCCACCCAGUGGUCCUGCAUCCCUCAACAAACUAGCUGAAGCAUCGCCACCGCCGGCCCAGAUGGACCCUGCACUCUGAGAGCAGCAUCAGACCGGACCCAGAUCAAAAGAGGGAGAGGAGUCCUCACCGGAGCAGGAGUGUGAGGGGGAACCUUUGGCCCGGAAAGCAGGACAGGAGCCCACACCAUGUCGUCCAACAGGACCCAGAACCCGCAUGGACUGAAACAGAUAGGCCUGGACCAAAUAUGGGACGACCUGCGGGCCGGCAUCCAGCAGGUGUACACGCGGCAGAGCAUGGCCAAGUCUCGCUACAUGGAACUCUACACACAUGUAUAUAACUACUGUACCAGUGUCCACCAGUCCAGCCAGGGAAGGGGCUCUGUGCCCCCCAGCAAGCCCUCCAAAAAGUCCACCACUCCAGGUGGAGCCCAAUUUGUAGGCCUGGAGCUCUACAAGAGGCUCAAGGAGUUCCUGAAGAACUAUCUGACCAGCCUGCUCAAGGAUGGAGAGGACCUCAUGGACGAGUGUGUGCUCAAGUUCUACACCCAGCAGUGGGAGGAUUACCGUUUCUCCAGUAAGGUCCUCAAUGGGAUCUGUGCCUACCUCAACCGUCACUGGGUCCGACGGGAGUGUGACGAGGGUCGCAAGGGCAUCUACGAAAUCUACUCGCUGGCCCUGGUCACCUGGAGGGAGUGUUUGUUCAGACCGCUCAACAAGCAGGUUACAAAUGCUGUGCUCAAGCUGAUCGAGAGGGAGAGGAACGGCGAGACCAUCAAUACCAGACUCAUCAGCGGUGUGGUGCAGUCUUACGUGGAGUUGGGCCUGAACGAGGAGGACGCCUUCGCCAAAGGCCCCACGCUGUCCGUCUACAAGGAAUACUUUGAAUGCCAGUUCCUGACAGACACGGAACGUUUCUACACACGCGAGAGCACCGAGUUCCUCCAGCAGAACCCGGUCACCGAGUACAUGAAGAAGGCGGAGGCCCGCCUGCUGGAGGAGCAGCGGCGUGUGCAGGUGUACCUCCAUGAGUCCACGCAGGACGAGUUGGCCAGGAAGUGCGAGCAGGUCCUCAUCGAGAAGCACCUGGAGAUCUUUCACACAGAGUUCCAGAACCUUCUGGAUGCCGACAAGAACGAAGACCUGGGCCGCAUGUACAACCUGGUGUCACGCAUCACUGACGGCCUGGGAGAACUCAAGAAGCUCCUAGAGACCCACAUCCACAACCAGGGCCUCGCCGCCAUUGAAAAGUGUGGCGAGGCGGCGCUCAACGACCCCAAAGUGUACGUGCAGACCACGCUGGACGUCCACAAGAAGUACAACGCUCUGGUCAUGUCCGCCUUCAACAACGACGCCGGCUUUGUGGCGGCGCUCGACAAGGCGUGUGGUCGAUUCAUCAACAACAACGCCGUCACCAGGAUGGCGCAGUCGUCCAGCAAGUCGCCCGAGCUGCUCGCCAGAUACUGUGACUCGUUACUCAAGAAGAGCUCCAAAAACCCAGAGGAGGCGGAGCUAGAGGACACGCUCAACCAAGUUAUGGUUGUGUUCAAGUACAUCGAGGACAAGGACGUCUUCCAGAAGUUCUACGCCAAGAUGCUCGCCAAGCGUUUGGUCCACCAGAACAGCGCCAGCGACGACGCCGAGGCCAGCAUGAUCUCCAAACUCAAGCAAGCGUGCGGCUUCGAGUACACGUCCAAACUCCAGAGAAUGUUCCAGGACAUCGGCGUCAGCAAAGACCUCAACGAGCAGUUCAAGAAGCACCUGACCAACUCUGAACCUCUGGACUUGGACUUCAGUAUUCAGGUUCUGAGUUCAGGAUCGUGGCCUUUCCAGCAGUCCUGCACCUUCGCUUUGCCCUCUGAGCUGGAGAGAAGCUACCAGCGCUUCACGGCGUUCUACGCCAGCAGACACAGCGGCAGGAAGUUGACGUGGCUCUACCACCUGUCCAAAGGCGAGCUGGUCACCAACUGCUUCAAGAACAGGUACACGCUGCAGGCGUCCACCUUCCAGAUGGCCAUCUUGCUGCAGUACAACACCGAGGACAGCUACACCGUCCAGCAGCUCACCGACAGCACGCAGAUCAAAACCGACAUCCUGGUCCAAGUACUGCAGAUUUUGCUGAAGUCCAAACUGCUGGUUCUGGAGGAUGAGAACGCCAAUGUCGACGAGGUGGACUUCAAACCGGACACCGUCAUCAAACUCUUCCUGGGAUACAAGAAUAAAAAGUUGCGCGUGAACAUCAACGUGCCCAUGAAGACGGAGCAGAAGCAAGAGCAGGAGACCACUCACAAGAACAUCGAGGAGGACCGCAAGCUCCUCAUUCAGGCGGCCAUCGUGAGGAUCAUGAAGAUGAGGAAGGUCCUGAAGCACCAGCAGCUCCUCGCCGAGGUCCUCAACCAGCUGUCAUCUCGGUUCAAACCCAGAGUCCCCGUCAUCAAGAAAUGCAUUGACAUCUUGAUAGAGAAGGAGUACCUGGAGAGAGUGGAUGGCGAGAAGGACACGUACAGCUACUUGGCCUGAAACCCCCCCCACAGCCCAGCAACUCGCCCGCCCACAUCGCCUUCGUUUUAUUUCCACGUGUUAUCUUCAUCCCCCCCACCCCGUCUGAGUAAUAAAGUGUGGAUCCUGAUGUGCGGCAGACAUGUUGAGUUCGCUGCUGAGCAUGUGACAACCUAAAGGUGAACUUUGACCUCUCCUGUCAGUGAUGAAGGAACUUACACGCCACCCCCAUGCCCUUGAGAAAAGCAGCAAAGCCCCGCCCACCAACGCACGUUUGUCAUGUUGUAAAUAUGCCCGGAUUUCAAGAGGAGAAACGCCCCGCCGCCCUCUCUCGCCAUAGGGAAAAACAUCACGACUUUAGCCUUCAGCCAAUCAGAGAGCCAUAUCCAAAGGUUUCUGCAUGCUCCCGCCUCCCUGCGCCGCCGUCUAGCACAGCGGGACAAACGAAGGAAGCAGUGCGAGACCAGCAAUUUUAUAGAAUUUAUUCAAAGAAAGAAAAUCCCUGUGAACAUUGCAGAGUCAGCACCUUCCACGUGUGAGAAUUUAAAGUUUUCUUUUGCAGGAUUUAUAACAAAAAACAUCCCAGGUGGUUGCUUGCUGCUCCCUGAUUCCCCCCUCAGCCAAUCACAGAACACAACCCUUUAUUUGUAAACAUGGUCCGUGUGUGUCUUACAAGCAUCACUGUCAGCUGCUUGCAACAUGGCCGACACUACAGUCACACCUGCUGGCCCUUUAAAAUUAGAGCAUCAGGAAUGUGACACAACCUGUGACUGAAGUGAAACAAAUGUUCAACAUUGUGAGGAAUUGGCCAGCACUGACGGUAAAGAUUGUAUGAUUACAGCAGGCAGUGGAGCAGACAGCAGGCCCGUAAGGCCAUUUUAGCACCAGAAUUCACAUCAAAAAUCAAAGCGUGAGGAUGCUUGAGGUGUUUUCAUGAUCAACUCAUUGAAACUGACUUUAGCACCUCUAGUGGACAAACUAGACAUUGCUGGCAGUGACGUCAAACGUGAUUUGAAGGCAGUGCCAGCUUUGUCGAGGUUUAACAUUGCCGUUGACUGUAACUGCCAGAAAGAUCACCACUAGAACGUUUUUGGCCGAGAAAGUCUUAAGCACCAGAAAAAAAAACCUGCUGGUGUUUUUUGUAAUGUAUGAGUUCCAACACACUUGAAGGCAUUGUUUGACAUCACCAAAAACAGCAGUAUAACAAUUAUUCUGCCCCCCCCCCCUAAAAACAGGGAAAAAAAUAUUUACAGAUAGCUUUGUCAAAAUUUGACUGGAUUUUCUGUCAGUUUAAACGGCAAAAAACAGAAACCUGCUGGUGGUGAAUUUGGUCCCUGAAACGUGGACUGAGAAGAUGUUUCAUCUCACAGCAACACUAUGUAUUAAUAAAAAGAAGUCUUGUUCUUUAGGUUCAAAACAAACACUUGGAGGAUAAACAAUCCCGAAAGAUAAACAAGGAGAUGCUUCAAAUCUUAUGACUUCCUGAAAUGUUGCUAACAUGUCUUCUUCCCCUGAAGAGUGUGUGUCUGUGUGUGUCUUCA
Doryrhamphus excisus (bluestripe pipefish) is the source of this 4248-nucleotide non-coding RNA. The record is from RefSeq and is a predicted model, not a curated record. Lineage: Eukaryota; Metazoa; Chordata; Actinopteri; Syngnathiformes; Syngnathidae.